UAAAGAACCUGCCUCAUAGACGGGGACAACUAUUGGAAACGAUAGCUAAUACCGGAUAACAGCAUAAAUCGCAUGAUAUAUGUUUAAAAGUUGGUUUCGGCUAACACUAUGAGAUGGCUUUGCGGUGCAUUAGCUAGUUGGUGGGGUAAAGGCCUACCAAGGCGACGAUGCAUAGCCGACCUGAGAGGGUGAUCGGCCACACUGGGACUGAGACACGGCCCAG
This 223-nucleotide ribosomal RNA is filed under the name uncultured bacterium. Its description in RNAcentral is "partial 16S ribosomal RNA". It matches the Rfam family "Bacterial small subunit ribosomal RNA", at positions 118 to 334 of the family's 1533-position model. RNAcentral also lists the same sequence under 1 other name. The record is from RNAcentral.